UAUAAAACACGAUGAUGCAGUAUUCUAGUCAGUAUCUGCAGUUACCAGGGUGGGGCUAAAAAUCCACCGAAGGGCAUAUCGAUGAAACUUCUUGUGCUUGCUUCUUACGCCCAGUUUGGGGUGGGUGCUGGAAGGUAGGAUGUCGGGCAGCCAUAAUGGCAUAUGGUCUUGUUCCUCCAUCCAUGGAGACCCAAUUAUGUGGUGUUAUUGCGCGCUACGGAUUGGGGUGAAACCUGCAAUGCGGUGUUGUUCCUGCUUCUUUGAGAGGCUUUUCGCAAAAAAACGGGACAGCGCUGUGUGCAGUGUAGCCUGUCUUGAGUGAAUGCCGCGGACUUUGUUCAGAGAGCGGUCCUAUGGCCAUAGGGCGGUUCUUAUUGCGUUGAGAAACGGUGUUUGCAAAAGAGACUAAGAACUGUUGGAUAUUGUUGGGGAAAUCUCCUAGACUGUUUGCGUUGAAGGGAUUGCAGUACGUACUCAGUGGCAGUCAAGUCAGAAUUAUGGCGACAUAGUUUUCGUAGUUUUUUAAGGGAAACCGCUUGGAUGGCGACAACAAGUAAGCUACGGGGAAACCUACUUGACCUAAGACGUAAGAUUAACCUUGAACGUUAUCAUCGUUUGAUUUUU
RNAcentral lists this small RNA (624 nucleotides) under human gut metagenome. The record is from RNAcentral.